Molecule: ribosomal RNA, 778 nt
Filed under: Bacillus tequilensis
Lineage: Bacteria; Bacillati; Bacillota; Bacilli; Caryophanales; Bacillaceae
Description: bacterial SSU rRNA
Rfam family: Bacterial small subunit ribosomal RNA
Source: RNAcentral
CAAUUGGGGGGUCCAAAUAAUGCAGUCGAGCGGACAGAUGGGAGCUUGCUCUCUGAUGUUAUCGGCGGACGGGUGAGUAACACGGGGGUAACCUGCCUGUAAGACUGGGAUAACUCCGGGAAACCGGGGCUAAUACCGGAUGGUUGUUUGAACCGCAUGGUUCAAACAUAAAAGGUGGCUUCGGCUACCACUUACAGAUGGACCCGCGGCGCAUUAGCUAGUUGGUGAGGUAACGGCUCACCAAGGCAACGAUGCGUAGCCGACCUGAGAGGGUGAUCGGCCACACUGGGACUGAGACACGGCCCAGACUCCUACGGGAGGCAGCAGUAGGGAAUCUUCCGCAAUGGACGAAAGUCUGACGGAGCAACGCCGCGUGAGUGAUGAAGGUUUUCGGAUCGUAAAGCUCUGUUGUUAGGGAAGAACAAGUACCGUUCGAAUAGGGCGGUUCCUUGACGGUACCUAACCAGAAAGCCACGGCUAACUACGUGCCAGCAGCCGCGGUAAUACGUAGGUGGCAAGCGUUGUCCGGAAUUAUUGGGCGUAAAGGGCUCGCAGGCGGUUUCUUAAGUCUGAUGUGAAAGCCCCCGGCUCAACCGGGGAGGGUCAUUGGAAACUGGGGAACUUGAGUGCAGAAGAGGAGAGUGGAAUUCCACUUGUAGCGGUGAAAUGCGUAGAGAUGUGGAGGAACACCAGUGGCGAAGGCGACUCUCUGGUCUGUAACUGACGCUGAGGAGCGAAAGCGUGGGGAGCGAACAGGAUUAUAUACCCUUUGUAGUCC